RNAcentral lists this long non-coding RNA (43596 nucleotides) under Ananas comosus (pineapple). RNAcentral describes it as "long non-coding RNA (ACOM_LNC017925)". Lineage: Eukaryota; Viridiplantae; Streptophyta; Magnoliopsida; Poales; Bromeliaceae. The record is from RNAcentral.
UAAUGCCUAUGUCUAAACAUAUAUAAAAGUGAAUGUAAUCUAGUUCAAGCCAUAUGAAUGUUGACAAUUUUAGUUGAUUAGAAACCUCGAUAGUAAUGAGAUAAAUGAGAAUAUGUAAACUAUGAACCUCAUGUUAAAUCCCUAAGAAUUGGGUAUUGGGUAUAAGUUGACAACUCCAAACAAGUAGAAAUCAGGAUAGUAUCAAAGUAAAUGAAAAUGUGCAAUUUGUAAUCCUAGGCGUGGAUAACUAGGAUAAUGAAUAGAUCGAGUGGCAUGAACCUAGUGUUCUUGAAACAUAGGUCGGACAUUAACCUAGUGUCAUUGGACAUAGGUCAAGUAAUUAAACCUAGAGUCGAGUUCUAGGUGAAAAUGAUAUAAAACCUAGCGAAUGAACCUAGGUUAUGACAUAUAGUAAGACUUAGUAGAAGUGAACUAAAUUGUGAAUUUUAGUGGUAUAGUGACCACUAGGAAAGGAUUGAUUUCGACCUAGGAGGGUCGUCAACAUAGGGUAAAGUGAGUAAACCCUCGAGUUGUGAAAGUGGAUUCCGAAAUCCCAAGAUCUAUGAUGACCUUGGUAUCAAGGCUAGGGCGUGUGCGACGAUUUCGCCGCCGAGAUUGAUACCAAGGCAGGAUUGGGUGUGUGCGCAGCGUCCACCACCCGGAGGCUUGAACCAUUGUCGUGGCGUGUGCGACGAUUUCGCCGCCGGAUGGUUAGCCAGUUUGUGGAUCCUACCGCCUGUUGACUGAACCACUGUCGUGGCGUGUGCGACGAUUUCGUCGCCGGGUGGCUAAGUCAUAGACCUAGGCCGUUGUUGGGUGAGGUGCGAUCCGUUCGCCGCCAGACGGCUAGGACAGGAGUACGGUGAGCUGUUGCCAGCUGAGGUGCAUGUGAGAGUUCCUUCACCUCGAGCUAGACAGUGCGCGGACUAUCCGCGAUUGAUUGACUCAAGACCGAGUCGGGUGGCAUAGAGAACUAAGGUAAGAGAUACCUUAGGAAAGAAUAGCCAGUUAGAAAGUGCUACAAAGUGUAAAAAAAGUAAAGAAUUGCUAGAGCUAAAAGUGAACAUUAAGUGGCAAACAGUAAAGAACGAUUAAGAACAUAAGUAGCGUUAAAGUAACCUACUUACAUGAUUACAGGGAUUAUAUAUUGCAUUUAGUAAGGCAUACAUGUUUAAUAUUUACGUAAAUUAUUAUGAUUAUCUGUUGGACUAACAUGUUUUAGUGCCUCCUUUGGACCUGGUGGGUCGAGCUCUUCCCUUGGGUGGCCGUACCCACUGGGAACUAUAUUUAUAUAGUUCUCACCCCCGUGUUGUUUUGGGGGUACAGGUUGCACGUGAGCGGCGCGGCGGCGCGAGGACAGGGCAUAGUUCCGUAGAUAGCGCCCUACCACCGAGACCAGAGAUAGAAGUACCUUGAAGUGGUCAAGCUUACAGAGUAUGAAAUGAAAGAAACAAAUUUGUAGUAAUUUGUCUAAGUUUUGUAAUAACUUAAAGGUUUCUCUGGUUAUGUAAAUGUAAAAUAUUGUAAAUGUAAAAGAAUCUCUGGGAUGAAUGCUUGUAAUAGCAUAGUUGCACUUUAUGUUUUUGAUACUUAUGCAAUCUACAUACCUGCUACAGUUCCUGUUUGGAACCUCUUGUAUUGCAUUGUUUAGAUUGUUGACGCCUAGAACGUACAGGGGAGGCUCUGUCCGCUCGGCGGUCUGUCGGCGUGCCCGAAUCCGACCAAAUAGGCGAAGCUCGGGGCGUGACAUAGGUCUUAGAACAACGUUUUUUAUGCGCUCGUGGUGAGCAGGUUGACGUCGUUGGAUAGUCGGAGUUUUUCAUUUCAGUCUACGUAAAUAGACUCUAGAUUAAAGUGGUGUUGACUCGUGAAUUUUCUACGUGAACUUGCGACGUAGUCGAGUCGGUUAUGGCUAUGCGGACCAAGGUAGAGUGGACCUAAAUUUCUGAGUGUUGAAGUGUUAUCUCAGAAUUGGCGAUUUGGGAUCUGAUAAUCGCGGGACUGUCUUUGUCCGCAAGUUAUAGGAUGGUAUUGAUCCCGAUGAGUUUUGGUCUGUAGAGUUUGGGUUGGUACAUUUUCCCUCGAUUUGUCCUGGUGGAACCGCAGUCCUAUUUUUCCCCUUCUACGGAGGUUGAUUUAUUCAGAUGUAUUUGACCAGUACUCAAAGGUGGUACCACAGUGGUGGAAGUAUUAUCUGAAUUCUAUUUCGGUGGGUACGUGGUCAAGCUUCGAGGACGAAACUUCUUUUAAGGGGGGAUAAUGUAAGGACUGAGAUUUUUACUGUGCAACUAAACUCUCCGUUGACGAUGUUUAUGUGUGUAAUUUAAUUUCAUAAGCACUCGUCAUGUUUCAGGAGAAAAUGAGCUAAAACGGAGAAGUUAUGUGAUUAUUAGUUUUCACUUAAGUGAAUAGUAACUCCGGUUUUUCGGUGAAGCCGCGGAGUAGAGUUGGCUUUCAACGCGUAUCGGACUCUGUUCAUAGCGAUCCAAUAGCUCGUUUCGAUCGGAUCAGCUAUUCUAGAACCAAUGGCACUGACGGAUUUCGGAUCCGAUGCACGGUUUUUGAGAAAAAGGAGUUUUAACAAAACGAGGGUUUCCGCUCUUUGCUAUUCGUGCAUUUUAAAACUCCCCGUGCUUUGUACAAGUGAUCUAGAGAUGGGUGAGAGAUGUUUCAAGUACCUACUGGUGGUAGGAAAUUCAAAUACGAGUUUGAAUUAAAGGAUUUCGGGUUUCCACCAAGGCCUAUGUGUGACUUAUGGAUUAAUUAGAGAGCGGAUGGAUUCCGUCGCGAAUUCGUGACCAAAUCUGACGAAACAAGAUUGUAGUUUUGAUGCCUCGUCGUGCUGAACGCGAUGGUGCAAUCCGUUCUGAAAUCCGAUGAACGGAUUGUCGGAUAUUGCAUGAAGUUUGCUAAGGGGUCGAGAGUGGAAAAUCGGAAUUUUCGCAAAAGUCCCGAUAUUUUAUGUACCGUUUCGCGUAAUCUUGAACGUCGAGGUGCAUACGCGCAUAUUACACGCGUGGUGAAGGACUGGGUAAGAAAUACCAAGCUUCGGAGGACUUUUCUGCACCAGAAACCUAGUUCUAGCGGACCUAGUUCCCAACCGUGCCUAGACAUAGCGCCAGCAGGUCCCUGCACUGCCUGUGCUCGUCCCAGACUCCGGCGAACAUUCGGCCGCGAAAACUCAUGGUUAUCUCCUCUCUCCCCUCCUCGCCACUCCUUCUCCUCUCUGCGCGAAGUUGCUGGGGAAGCGACCACAGACCCUCUGGAAGCUUCCUGGGAAGAUAUCUCCUCCUCCGUCCGCCGCACCGGCGCAUCCUCCCGCGUCUCCACCAGUCGCGUUUCACGCCGCCCGCUAGCCGCCAACAACCCCAGUGGGGGCCACCCCGGCUUCUCGGCAACCGCGGACGAGCCGGCCCGAGAAGACCCUAGCUCGAAGGCUUUGCGCCGCCGUAUGCAACCCUAGCCUCGUCCGGCCCUGCUCAUCUGGCCCUCCGGGGGGGCCGGGGGGGGGGGAGGGGGGCGUGCCGUCGCGCUCGCAUCGCCCGCGCUACCUACGCCGCACGUCGCGACGCCUGCCCGGCACGCUGCCGCCCAGCUCCUGCGGGCCGCCAGACCGAGUUGCGGGUCGAGCCGGGGCUAGCUCUGCCUCCGCGCGCCGCCGCCAUUCCCCGCCGGCCGAGUCGCCCUUCCUCCACCUCCGGCGACGUGCCGCCGUCGCCCCGACCCUCCUCCGGUCGCCGCCGUGGCCGCCGCUGCCCUAGGAGCCGAGGUGAACCCGCGCGGGCUCGGGUUGUUCCAGCGCCGCCAUCGCUGCCUUCCGCCGCUGGCCAGCGUGAGCGCCGGCUCCGCCUGGCCGGCAGCACCCGUCAACCGCGGGAGACGCUGCCGCCGGAGCUCGCUGUCCACCGGAAUGAACCCGUGCUCCCCACGGGUUUGGUGGCUAGGGCAUCAUUGGCCGUCGUCGCCGCCGCCUCCUGUCGCCUACUGACGCGAGCCCCGGCCCCCUCCGACCUUCCGCACCAACCCCUGGCCGGCCUUCCCGCCGUCCGGUCGCCGCCGGCCACCCCGUGCCCUGCCUAGCCCCGGUAAGCCUAGUUUACCUUUCUGCACCUUGUCUUAUGGUUCCGGUCACUGUUCCGGUGAACCGAGGCCACCCCGAGUCUUCGGAAGGUGAGCACGAUGAUCCUGGUUCAGUGCUGAUCAUCGUAGCCACCUUCAUUGGAGUCUGAGAGCCUCUGAUUUGCGAGAUAAGCAUGUUCUUCAUGCUGUGCGCGCAGUCCGCUGAAGUUCGUCUCGCUCCCGCGCUCGCCACAGUGGCCGGCCAUGCUCCGAAGUGUGAGCACGGCCUCCGGCAUGUCGAUACCUAUCAGCGAGAGUCUCGGCUCAACUCGAGUGUCCUCGAUUUGCGCUAUCGGACUGUAAAGUCCCGUAAAUAGCAUGAAAUAAUGUAAUUUUACGUAUUAUAGGGGACUUUUGUGCAAUUGUACACUUCGUGGCUGUUGUGGGUAGUGUGUAAGGACAGUGGGUGACCUCUGGACUAGUUGUCCAAGGCCCCAAGUUUUACGAAAAUCAAAUGUUGAUUUCCGACGCGUUUUUCGGCGAAACCCGCCGACGGAACGCGAGUUUGGUUCAGAAUUAAUCCGACGGAGCUUCGUGACGGAUUGUUUUGUCGCUGAGCCUAGUUGGCCGGUCACCCGUGUCAUUUCAAGGGUUCAGAAAUGACGGGUGAGCGACGGUGGGUUCCGGUGUCGAAAUUGACACUUCUGAGAACCCGGAUCGGAACGUUUAUUCGACGAUAAUCGUUUCGAUGUGAGUUAGUUUUGUUGCUGCCUAGACAUCCAAUUUGAUGUGUUUUGGGGCAGCGAAUGACUCGUGGCAUGAGUCGGUGCCUUCCGGGAUAGUUAGUGGGUCCCGGCGGAGUCCCGGUGCGAUUUUCGGGACUUCCGGCGAGUUACGGUAAUCGGUAUUGGGAAACCGAUCUCCGUGAGAUUGUUUGUGGGUUAUGCUUUUAGGGUUUCUUAGCUGUGGGUUAGACACUAACCCAGUGGACCCUCCUUAGGUCCGGUUGACGUUCUUUUGCAGUCAGGAGACAGGCGCGACAGUUGUACAAGUGGGUACUUCGAUCCGACGUCGGUACAGUGGUGCACGCUCAGUGAUGGUUUCUUAUCUUUGUUAUCCCGUUAUUAUCUGGCAUAUAUAUAUAUAUAUAUAUAUUGAUAUAAAGUGUUGAGCCUUGCACCUGCAUUUAUAUCUGCAUUCCUCUAUUCAGUUNAUGACAUGAUUGGUCGAGUUUCAUACUCUAUACUUGUGACCUGGUUGGUCGAUUAUAUCUUCAUUCCUCUACUCAGUUAUUUCCAUGUUGAUAUCAUGCUUAGGAGUAGAGUUGACUUAUCUGUUCACUAUAUUUGUGAUUUGGUUGGGCGGUUCCCUAUUUGAUAUCUAUGACCUAUUCGGUCGAGUUGCUACAGUUCUAUCUUGACAUAUGUAGCCGAUUAGUCGCUGAUGGCCUAUACGGUUGGUGUGCCCUGAGGGGCUGGAUUGUCGGCUAGUUGUCGAUGGAUGAUCUUUGAGCAUACUACAUUGAUCGCCACUGCAGGUACGCAUUUCACGAACACCAGCAGUUUGAUCCACUGCAAGAGGGUGUUCUUUUCCGGAAAAGUGGUUGGAUUGCCAACCCGUGAGCCCAGGGGCUUUAUUGCGAGGGUAUAUGCUUCUGACCCAGGGGCUUCAUUGCGAGGGUCAGGUACAUGUUUUCUGACCCAGGGGCUUCAUUGCGAGGGUCAGGAAAAAGGUGAGCAGCGUGGCAUGGCCUGAGGUCUCGGACCAAUAGGGCAGUGAGAAUUAGGUCUUUUGAGGUUAUCGUUAGUUGACGCAUGCAUACAGUAGCUGUUAGUGUUUAUUUCCAUACAUCUUAUCUGUUUUAUUGUAGCUACUGUUUUAUUUACCUGCAUCUAUACUUGUCAGCUCUUACAUAUCUCUUCGUUUACUAUGGUUCCUACUGUAUUACAUGACCCCCGUACUGUUGUUUAGCUCUUCCUGAUCUGGUGAGUAUCCUCACCUUCAUCGGCUUGCGACGGUACCACUGGGAGGGGAGACAUGUUUACAUGUUCUCACCUCCCCCAUUUUUCAGAUCGCAGGCAAUGAGUAUCGGGAUGAGACGUUGAGAGUACGACGUAGUAGUCAGUCGACUAAGAGCUUCACGAUACCCAGGUUACUUCGGUUGAGCUUUUUUCCUUCUUAUUUCGGUUGAUGUAUAGUUUAGUUGGUUUAUGUGGUUCAGUGUUUAUUUACAUUUGAAAAUGUGGAUUUCUGGAUUUUGUGAAAUAAAAGGUUUUCUACCCCUCGUGGUAGCGUUUCUAAAGAAUAAAGGUUUCUGUGUAGGAAACAGUUUUCAAAAGAUUUUUAUGGAUUUAUGUUUAGACAUUGAAUGCAAAUCUGUGAUGUGAAUGGUGAAUGUAUGAAUGUAUAGUGAUUUCUAUAUUCAUUUAGUUGUGGUUGUAUCCUGUUUGUACUGUUGUACUUGUGCGACGCCGUGCAAAUACAGAGGAGACUCUGUCCGUGUGAACAGUGGAAUCCCUGUAUCUGUGGCAGGUCUAGGUUUUCAAAAAAAAAAAAAAAAAAAAAAAAAUUUAGACGCAUUUCCGCUAUCUUUUAAACUCAAAGGGACCCCGGGGCGUGACAUAUUUUCUUUCCCGCUUUUAGUAGUUAUUUAAAUGAAUGGUUCAGUUAGCUGAUUUUUAUUGAUGAUUGCUUGAAUGCUGGUGAUCUGGUUUUAGUAGAUCUGUGGAUGUUUUAUUAUGCAUGUAAUUGGAUUUUAUAUCUAUGGUUUUGGAGUUUAUGGAUCUUCAGUUUUGAGAUGUUUGUAUACUUUGUGGUUCUCGGAUUUGCAUUUAUGGAUUUAUGCAUUGUGGAUUUCUACCCUUCGAGGUAGUCGGUUUUCAAAAUAGAGUUUCCGUGUGGGAAACAGUUUUAAAAUAAUUUUCGAAUGGUUUUCACGAAUGUUUGAAUUAGAGUUUAAAAACAAAAGCUUCCGUGUGGGGAGCACUUUUAAAUAGGAUGUUUGUUGUACUGUGCAUUGCAUCAUCCAGCGCCUAAGGAGCGUUUAGAGGCAUGUAUCAUCUCUAAGAAUCGUUAGCUGUAUGAAAAUGCAUAUUAUGAAUUGACUACUGAUUGGUAAAUGUAGGUUGUGGUUGAGAUCCUGUUGUAUCCGUUGGUACGCCGUGCAAAUACAAAGAAAACUCUGUCCGAGUGGACAGAGGAACUUUGUAUUUGUGGCGGGUCUGUACGUCACUUGGGCCAAGUUGAAAAAAAAAAAACGACACGUUUUCUGUAACUCUGAUUUCAAAAUGGUAAUGGAUUUUAAAAGGUUUUUAAAUUCGGCCCCGGGGCGUGACAAUUUUGUUUUCUAUUUUUCACACUAUUUCUUUUCCAUUCUUCUUCCUCUUUCUCCUUCCUCUCAUUCUCCGCCGCAGCCUCCCACGCGCCCUCCUUCCUUUCGUCGUCGCACCUAGUGCAUGCAAUAAUUCUGUCCAAAAUCCCCCAAAAGUCCUAAACCUUUAAAUUCACUUUCUCUCUGUUACUAGUUACUACUCCAUUGUACUUCCUUAAACUCCGUCGAAUUCAAAAUAAACACCCAAAAGGAACGUUCUCUAUUCACCUUCCUCUCCCGUUGUUGUGCUCAACGUGCUUUUGAUCCUCUCCGUUUCCCCUUCUCUAUCUGCGUCUCCACCAUCGCCAUUGUCGUCGUCGUCGACGAUGUCGGUGGUGGGUAGGUUAGAGUGUGUGGUGUGCGUAGGGUGCUCGCGCUGGGCGUGGAAGCGCCUCAACUACGUCGUCGCCUACGACAACGAGUUGUGGCUCCUGUCCUCGGCCGCGGAGUUCGCCCCCAUCCCCCGCACGUGCCGCGCCAUACUCGGCAUCUAUGCCUGCGACCUCGCCAACCCCAGCGUCGCCCCCUCCCUCGAACCCUCCUCGCCGAUCCCAGCUUCGCAGCUGUCGCUGCGGGGAAGGAGAAGGAGGGUGCGGAGGAGGCGGCAACGGCGAAGGGGAAGGAGGGCGCGGGGGAGGCGGCGGCUGCGAAGGGGAAGGAGGGCGCGGGUGAGGCGGCUGUGGGGAAGGAAAGGCUGGCGGCGUGGUUGUGACGGAUGCGCGCCAUGGGGUUCCCUGACGACGUGCGCUCGCUCCUGCACUUCCACCGCCCCUCCAAUCCUCUUCUCUGAAUGUGGAGGAUGAGGAUGAGGAUGAGAGGAAGGAGAAAAAGGAAGAAGAAUGGAAAAGAAAUAGUGUAAAAAAUAGAAAAGAAAAUAGUGUAAAUUCGAUCAAAAUAGUGCAAUUUUGUUCUAAAUAGUGUAAUUUUAUUUUAAAGAGUGUAAUUUUUUUUAAAAGAGUGCAAUUUUUAUUUAAAAUGGUGCAAAAAAUUUUAAAACAGUGCAAUUUUUUUUUUAAACAGUGUAAUUUCAUCAUCUUCUUUUUUCUUCCAUUUUUUGUCUUUAUUUUUUUAUUAUUUUUUUCUAUAAUUUUUUUUUCAUGCCUCUCUGCCAACGACCACUGCGCCGGCGAUGACGUCGCUAAGGUCUUCCCGCUUCGAGGCUGCGGCGUCGUAGCGACCUUCGCGGCGUCAGCGUCGGCAGAGAGGUGGUGCCGCUCACGUCUCUGCGCUCCUCCCCCGCGACUCUGACUAGCUCCGGUCGAGUCCGCAUCUCUUCGUCGUCGUCUCGCGUUGGCGCGCCGACGGAGAAGGAGAAGGAAGAAGAAGGCCGCGGUGGAGCAUGUCGUCGAGCAGGGAGGUGGCGGAGCGGGCAUGGCUGCGGCGGCAGAGGGCCUAGGCGAGGGCGCGGUAGGAGGAGGGGUCGAGGGAAAGGCUGAGGCGGGGAAGGCGGGCUCGUCGCCGGCGACGUCGCCGAAGCGGGCGAGGGCGCCAUCGCCGGGGCAGGGGGUGUGGCGUUUCUGCUUCGUGUUUUUUUUUUUCCGUUAUUUUUUUUUUUAUCUGGGAAGUAGAAAAGAAAAAAGAACAAGAAAAAAAAGAGGAGAGAGAAAAAGGUACAAGGGUAUUUUGGUUAGAUGGCUGAAAAAGCGGACCGAAUUUGCAAAAAUGAAAAAGGUAGCCCGGUUUUGCAAAAGUCCAAAACUAGUGGAUUUUUUAUGCAAAUUGGCCAUGAAAUUUAGAUUAUUUUGUGAUUUAAUUUAUUAGUUAAUUUUUUUCUAGUUCGAUGAGAAUUUUUUAUAGUAAUAACUUGUUGAAAUUUGCGAUGGCUAAUAGAUCAGAAACCACUAUUCCGAUGGAAAAGGUGUGUGGUAUUAUCUCAAAUCUUAUUUUUUGAUAUUUGAUGAUUUACAUUUUCUUUUAUUUUAUGAAAUUCGCUAACCAUGUUCUUGGUUUUCACCUUAAUUUUUAGGAUAGUAAUGAUAUAUUAUUCUACUUACAAAUAAUAAUGCAUGCUUGUGUCAAUUUUAAAGAGUUCAUUCUUGUGGUAUUAAUGUUUUUUAGGCUUUCAAUUAUGUUUUUCAUGGUUUUCACCUUAAUUUUUAGGAUAGUAAUGAUAUAUUAUUCUACUUACAAAUAAUAAUGCAUGCUUGUGUCAAUUUUAAAGAGUUCGUUCUGGUGGUAUUAAUGCUUGUUAGGCUUUCAAUUAUGUUUUUCAUGGGUAUCUUGUAAUUAGUUUGUAUUUUUAUCUUGCCAUCAAAUAAUUAUCUAUUCAAUAGCAAGAGUUUUGCGGUGCCUUUCUUUUCCGGCAAAAUAUCUUUUCUUUUUCUCAUGAAAAGAUUUAUUAUUGAAAAAUACUUCUUUGUUUUCUUGUUUAAAAAAACAUUUCCAGCAAUAAGCAUGUCAAAUUAGUUCUGAUGCUCCACUCUGAUCACGACAUUUAGUUUUGAUUUUUUUUUUUUUUGAAAUUUAUGAUGGCUAAUGAAUUCAUAAAUAAGAUUCUAAUGGACAAUUAAGGUGUGUAGUAUUAUCACAAACUUUUUUUUUAUUUUUUGGAUAGUUUCAUAAUUAAUAUUCUUUUUUUUUUAAUGAAACUAUGCUAACAUUCUUUUUUUUUCACCUUUAUAACCGCAUUACUGUUUAUUCUUAUUUUUAGGGUGUUGAAAAAAAUGAAAUAAGUAUUACAUGUUCCCCCAGACGUUUUGGAUUAUGCAUCGACAAGUUAAAUGAUGUCCAGAAAGCAGCUAUUCAGAAUUUGGGUUUGAGUCGUGCUACCCAUACACCCCAUAUUGAGUUGUAGAUCCUACAACUAUUGGAUCCAACGGCUGACAUAAUGUAAGGACUGAGAUUUUUACAGUGCAACUAAACUUUCUGUUGACGAUGUUUAUGUCUGUAAUUUAAUUACAUAAGCACCCGUCAAGUUUCAGGAGAAAAUGAGCUAAAAUGGAGAAGAUACGCGAUUAUUAGUUUUCACUUAAAGUGAAUAGUUACUCCGAUUUUUCGGAGAAGCCACGGAGUAGAGUUGGCUUUCGGCGCAUAUCGGACUUCGUUCAUAGCAGUGCAAUAGCUCGUUUCGAUCGGUUCAGCUAUUCUGGAACUACUGGCGCUGACGGAUUUUGAGUUUGACGCACGGAUUUCAAGAAAAAAUCCAAAAAUACAUGUUUUAUAUGUAAUUGUGCGUCAUUUUGGCCUUUCGGAGAGAGAACGGAUUUCGUCGCGAAUCCGCGAUCGUUUGAGGUGAAACGAAAUCGCAGCCUCUUUGUCUCCGAGGUGCUGAUCGUACUGGUGCGAUUCGUUCGCAAAUCUGACGGACGGAUCUGCGGAGAUCGCACGUUGAUCGAGGAGAGGUCGGUGUUGGCAAAACGGUAAUUUCGCAAAAGUCGCGAUAUUUUAUGUACCGUUUCGCGUGGGAUCGUACGUGGAGGGGUGUUCGCGCGUUUUACACGCGCUGUGAAGGACUCAGUAUUAAAUACUGAGGUUUGGUGGACUUAAUUGCAAAGUUGCACCAUGUAUAUAAGCUUGUUCUAGGGUUUGCUCAUUGGAAACCCUAACCCUAGCCUUGCCGCAGCACCCAGCCACCCUCACCUCCCUCCCCUGCCCUAGCCAUGCGCCCAGGCCGCCGCCUACUGAACCCCGGCCGGCCAGCCACCGCCGCAGCCACCUUUCUUCCUCCCUCUCCAUCUCUCUCUCCAUCUCUCUCUUUUCUUCUCGGGUUAGAGCCCAGGCCGAGGCUGCAGCGGCCUCCCUGCACCUUGCCGGCGUCGCCCCGACCUCAUCGAAGCGUCCCCGUCGACCGCCGCCGUCGCCGAGCGCCGCCGCACCUGAGCUGGCCGCCUGCUGCUCCCUAGGUCGAGCCCAGACCUAGGCCUGCGUACGGCCUCCCCGCGGGCCGCCGCCGCCUGAGCCCGCUUCCGCUGCUGUCCCCGCACCCUCAGCGACCCUCCCCGCCGGUCGCCGCCACCCCAGCGAGCCGCCGUCGCCGCCUCGGCCAGCCCGCGGCCGCCCCAGACUUGUGCGGGCCGAGGUGAGCUCGCGGCUUCUUCCUCGCGCUGCCACCGCCCGGAGCCAUCCGUGCCGCCUCCCUCCGGCCUCAGGCAACCCUCCGCCGCCGUCCCCGAGCGCCCCAGCCGCAGCCGUGGCCGCAGCUGCCCUUGGAACCGAGCCCUAGCUGGUGUGGGCUCGGUUUGCUCCGCCGCCGCUGCCACCACUUCCAGCCACCACCUGAGGUGAGUACCUUGUUCCUUCCCUUCCCCGCACCCAUCCCUAGCCCGCGCCCACCUCGCCGUGCCGCCGGAAGUCGGCCGGAGCAAGCUUGCUCCGACCAAGCCCGAAAUAGGGCUUAGUUGAGUGGGUUUGAUGUUCUGUGCUUUUCAAGGCUUUCCGACCUCUGCGGAAGGGAGCACGAUGAUCGCGACUCAUCGCUGAUCACCGUGCUCACCUUGGUUUCUGUCGAGAAGGCCCCGAUCUGCUAUUUCGGCGAUGUCGCUCCGUUUGAGCCUUUUUGGCUACCAUUUCCGGUUUGUGUGCGUUGUUCCGGCGAUCCGAGGCUGUCCUUGUGAGAUAUGGAUCCCGAGGAUCUAAAAGGUGAAAAACACCUAGAGGGGGGUGAAUAGGUGUAAACGGUAAAAUAAAAUAAACUCGAUGCGAAUAUAAAAUAAAUGCGGAAAAUAAAAUCAGCACACUGAGAAUUAACGUGAGAAAACUCCAAAUCGGAGAGAAAAACCCACGGGACCGAUCACACAAAGAAAUCCACUAAGAAAAUAUGAGUACAAGUGAUUUAGCAAAAAUACAAGACUCAGAAUACCGAAUCCUCGUUGUAGAUUAUCUUUGCUGGUCCACGAUCGCUUGGAACCCUCCAACCGAUCACACUGCAAGUCCUUGCAGCCGCACACGCCUCGAUUCCACGAAACGCCCACCGAAUCCACGGUCUCCACGCGAGAUCCACGCGCUAAAGCUCCAUCCGAAGCUCGUAGAAGUUCAACAAUUUGUGGUGAUUAAAGAUCUUUGAAAGCACAUAUAAUGUGAGGAGAAACUCGAAUUAAAAUAUCAUCAAUUUGAUCCUUAACUAAAAUUUGAAUCAAAACGAAGAAUCAAAUUGAUGAUCUAAUGCUUGAUGUUUUAAAAACAUAGAACCAAAACUCCGAAUCAAGCCGUUAGGGUUUUUAAAAAGUUAUCUCGCUCAACUCUCUUCAAAUAGAGAUCCUCAUAUCAUAUUUAUAGGUUUAGAAGACUUCUAGAUAGAUUAGGAUUCCAAAAACUCAAUUUUAAAAACUGACGACGGUCUCAGGGUCCGGUCCUUUCGAGGAGACCGGUCCUUGGGAGACCGGUCCUCCAAGGUGAGGUCCGGUCUUUCGCUGCGUAGAUGUCAAAAUAUGCGUACGGGGACCGGUCCUCAAUUCAGAGACCGGUCCUUCCCUGCGCAACAAGGAAAACCACGUACGGGGACCGGUCCUCAUGAUCAGAGACCGGUCUCCCAAACCUUCUACGCAGAGAAGCUUGAUGGGUCCGGUCCCUCUGAUCAAGGACCGGUCCCCGACCCCUGAGUUUUUCCAGAAAACUUAAGUUUGAAUAAACAAAAAGGAAACCAAGUCUUCUAAACAUCUUUUAACAAUGAAAACUUCACCACAAAUUAUUUAUAAUCAUACCUGAGUUCUCAAGGGUCUUUGAUCACAAAAACUUCAAUUCUUUUCGUCAAUCUUCAUCUUCUAAUUCUUCGAGACUCCGUCCAAACCUUCACGAAAUUCGCCAACUUAUAAAAUCCUUAACAAUCUUCCCCUUUGGCGAUUUCGUGACAAAAUACAAAAAGAAUUUACAAUGCUUAUCCAAAGACAAAAAUAAGAAGGUUAUCGCAAUCACCAAACAACAACCUUCUGCGUGAUCGAUCCAAUAAAAACAGAAUUACAUUUUUAACAUCCUAAUACAGACUCUAUGACUUAGGACAUGACAUAGAGUCUCGAAGUCUUGAAAUACCCUGCAAAACAAUCUCCACACACUUCAUCAAAAUUUGCAAUGAAUUCAGUUAUAAGUCAAGAGUUCAAGCAUAGUUACAUCCUAAGCAAAGUUCACGCAUAGUUACAUCCUAAGCAAAGUUCAAGCAUAGUUCAUCAAGCACAUAAAGCAAAAAGCACAAGCAUGCAAGCAUAGUUACAUCCUAACAAGCAUGCAAGCAUAGUUACAUCCUAACAAGCAUCAUCAUCAUCAUCCUUCCCCUUUUUGUCAAGAAAACGCCAAAACGACCAAAAGGAGGAAACACCAAAAGAUCUCAGUCGGAAUCAGCACCAGGCGCAGGAAGAUCCGCGCUACAACACCCUAGUUUGUCAAAGAUAGCUCGCAUCAUACGACGAAGCUUGCCCACUUGCCGAGUGAGGCGCUCCUGCUCGGCAACCAUGCGAGCCUGAUCCUCAGAAAUCCGUCGAAGUUCGCCCGAGAUGCGUUCUUGCUCUAAAGAUAACCUUUGUUGUUCCCGAUAAACAGAAGAGACGGACAUUUCUUCCUCAGACACCUCUGCCGAAGGACGAGAAGGACCAGGAGGUGGAGUGGAACGCUGCUGAGACGAACGUCGUGGAGGAGAGCGCUGCGACUGAAGCUGCACCGAAGAUUUAAUGAACGUAGUCUCACUAAUCACGCCCAGACUAUGUUCAUAUGACGAACAUCUCGUGUCCACAUCAAACAUCCUCAGAAUCCGCAUAAUGAUUAAUGGAUAAGGCAACCUCUCUGACUGACUAGAAGUCUUGAUGUCUUUAGCCAUACGGCGCCAAACCAAAAAUGGAACAUUAAGAUUGAUCUUCCUAUCACGAACCACAUUCGGCUUACCCACCAGAUACAUAUAAAGCAUGCGAUCCCAACGCACCACCUUCGUGUUAGCCAACGGCAUUAUAUUGUAGCAGACCACAAAAUUCAGGAAACGAUACUCGAUCUUCAAUUCCUUUGACAUUACACAAAUGCCGUUCGGUUCAACGUUGGGCAAACAUACGCCAUUCAUAACCAGACGCCAGUCUCGCACCGCAUCAAAACCAGCAUGCAAGUAUUCAGUGCCAUCAGUCCGAGCCUGCAUACCAAGAACAGAAGCAAUAGUUUCAGGCGUAAUUGUCAACUCGAUGCCACGCACUGAGGUCUUAAAGAUGAACGGUCCACCAUCGGAAUCUUCCAAAUAUCCCGCUCUCAUAUAGAAUUCCCGAAUUAAUUCCAAACAAUAUCCAGUUUGUUCGGGAAAGUCGCUAAUUUCAUAGAAACCCCCGGUCUCAAAUAAGUCUUGAAGACCAGGAACUCGGUCAAUCAAGUUCUGAACUCCAACGUGGCGCUCACCAAUACAGUUCUUCGAAGAGUACAUAGAGCGUCUCUUCGGAUCAACGUUGCCUUCCUGAGUACUGCGACGAGGUAGAUCAGCAGUAGAUUCGCGAAUUUCAAUACCUCCAGUCUUUUUCUUACUCCGAGAGUAUGUCAAUUUUUCCGUUCCUUUGCCUUUGGCUUUGCUCUAUCCCUUUUCUUAUUCUGUAACUACCUUUUCCUUCCCUUUCUUCUUUGUCGACACCACUUCUAGAGAAAAUGCUUCCCAAUCCGUCGACUCAGUUUCCGAUUCGUCAUCAGGAGCAUAUUCACUGCCGACAUCCUCUACCGGUGGCUCGACAUGUUGCUGAGCCGAAGUACGCCGGCGCGUACCACCACGACCACCACCAGCCAUGAGGAACACAAGCACAAGCAAAAGUGAAUACAUUUUUGGUUUACGAAAAAGAUCCCUGUUACAAUCAAGUUAAACAAAAACGCAGAUAUCAUUCAGAUUUUUCCUUUUUUAAAAAAAAAAAAACUAGGUCCACAUGAAAAAGGCAAAAUGAUGCAUCAUGAGAAGAAAGAAAAUGCAUGAGGAGAUCGAGAAUCACUAGAAUAUUACAGAGAUCAAUGAUUAGAAACAAGAUACCUAACAAAAUCUCAGAUCAAAACCCCCAAAACACAAUCUUGAAGUGUAUAUGCAAAAAGAAAACCUAAAAAGAAAACUUACCAAUCAAAGCAAAGAAAAAUGGGAAAAAGCAGAGCAAACACCCUCUGGAACCCUAGACCAGCCGUGGGAAGAGUUUUAGAGAAAAUGGUAAAGUAAGAGAGAGACCGGACCAACAAUCGUAUAUAGGCACGGGCAGAGGGACCGGUCCUUCAAGACAGGGGACCGGUCCCCGUACAAAAAAAAAUUCCUCCCCUUUUUAUUUUUUUUUUUUAAAAAAUGAUAUUCCAAUGACAUAUAAUAAAAAUUUUAUAAAUAUGGAAAACAAAAUCAAUUUCAAAAAUAUUCAAAAUGUCAAUAUUCGUUGAACAAAUAGACGAUUCAAAUUCUAAAUGGGUAUAAUGCUAAAAUCCACACAUCAAUCAAGAUCUAAAAAUUAAUCGUCUCGUAUUGUCUUCAUAAUUGCUAAAUAGAGGAAUUAAAAAGAUCCCAUAACCAGAAAUAAGAAUAAGAUGAUCAAAUGAGUUAUGCACAAAAUUACGACGAGGGAGUGGCUUCUUUGAGCGCUCUUUCAACACUCCACCUUAUAUCACCUAGGAAAUGCAUUGUAUAGUACCUCAUGCCUUAUCAUUCCAAGCACCUUUGUAACCCUUUUUUUUUUUAAAUAUAUAUAUAUAUAUCACCGGAAUAUUGUUGGCUUCUUUAUCAAUAAGAGAAUGCUUUAAACAGACGAUGUGGAUAGCUGCACACAACGUACGACGACGCCGGAGUGGUAGCUUCUUUCUCAUUCCGGUGUAGUUUUCACACUCCACCAUGAGGGAAUGUAACUUCCACCAUACUUUUGACCAUUCUAGAUUUAAGUUCCAGGAAAAACUCGCCCCUAAAUAAGUGCAACCCUCAAGUUGACAGAUGUUAUCAAUCAAGUUCAAAAAAUAGGGAUCUUUAUUCAAUACAAUAGGCUCAUUGUAGCAACUGGCACGUUUGCAAAUGGCGAGGUUCGAAGUGUGUCGAUUUAUCGAACGUGUUCCACAUCUUGGUGGAGGGCCGGAUGGUAACCGGCCUAAAGUUCGAUCUGAGAGUUAUUGGCUCGAGUCUGAGAGUUUUACUCUCGGGAGGUCCCUGAUAGGAGAGACCGGUCCCCAGUGAACAGUACUGCGUACGGCGGGCAACCGUCCCCUGGCGAGUCGACGCACCGGUCCGAGCGCGUGUCUGCGCGGGAGAGACCGGUCCCGCGAGGGGCGAACGGUUCCCAAACGUUGGAUUUUUCGGGGCCAGGUGAGAGAACCGGUCCAGGUCGGGGGUACCGUCCCUCUGGCGAAAACUGCCAGACGGGUUGAUAGCAAAUUUUGAGUUUUUGAGGCGGCCUAAUUGGAUUUUGUUAUCCUUAGAGGCUAUAUGGCGCCUUCCUCCCUCAUCCACUCUCAUUUCUCUCCCUCACACUCUCUAACUUCUAGAGAGAGAAGGAAGGAGUAAGAAGGAGAAGAAGAGAAAGGAGCUUUGCUUGAGGCCUUGAGCACCAUUUCUUCCUCAUUUCUCACUUUGGUGGCUUGAAUUUGCGGUGGUAGCUUUGUGGAGUGAUCAAACUUCACCUCAUAUUUGGUUUGAAGCUUGGAUUGGAGCUUCUCUUGAGGUUGGUAGCGUUAUAAUCCCACAUUUGAUACUGUGUUUUCCUAGUUUGCUUAGAUGAACCCAUAGAUUUUUGGAUUUAAGGUUUUAAGUUGGGGGGUUUUAAUUUGAGGCCUUGAUCUCUUUUGAAUAGCGUUUGAACUUUAUAUAGGUUGGAUUGGAAGACCCGCUACCUUCCAUUGUGAGUAUUUAGUAGCAGGGUUUUCAUUGAGAUGAAUUUAUUCCAACCCUAGCUUGAGUUGUGUAUUGAUUGAGCUAUUUUGCUCUUCGGUUUAGUUUGGUGACCUAUUUUUGAUGUUUCUAGGUACUAUGGCGUUGUGGAUACCUUCGUUUGGCGAAAUCGAGAAAUCGGAUUUUGGUGGGGUUGGCUUCGUGAAAUGGGUGCGAAAAUGCGCCACAAAUGCUCUUUCUAUUCCGAUUGUAACAUAUUUUAAGUUAUUUUAAACUGUCUAAAUGAAAUUUAUAUAGAAUUAGAAGCAUUUAACUGCAUGCCUGAUGCUAUAUGAAAUAUCCACUAUAUUAGUAGACGCAUAUAACAUAGAAUGCAUGGCAUAACGCGAAAAAAUGUUUUAUUUUUGCAAAGUGGAAAAUACAUCUCUCUUAAUAAGUUAUGACUGGAAUAUGUUCUUUGGAGCAUAGUUGCCAUGCUUUGCAUAGAACAAGGUUCAUACAAGGGGCACUUGAAACUAGUAGAACUAUUGAAAAUUGCAAGUAUGAGAAUAUUUGAUAGGCCACUAUUUAUCCGCUACAUUCCAGUUAGGGAGACAUGAAUGAACAUAAGGAUAGGCCGUUGAGCAUACUUGACACAUUCAUAUUAUUAGACAUGGGGACGGUACCUUGUGAAUAGAUCGUUCUGCCUAUUGCCUUCGUGCUCAUUUCGCACAUGUUGUGAGGCGUCCUCCCUACAACCGGCACUCGGGAAUGCCAUCGACGAUUCUAUAUUGCCGUGGGGAUGGGGCGCGCGAAGUGAAUUGCGUGACAGCUUUCCUAGGGUGGGAGUGUUGAACUUACUCACGGGCAUUAGGCUUGCACGGCCAGAACCAACCUAUCGCGUGAGUGUCUAGGGCGAUAGCAGCCUUCGGAUGGGUUCUUCAGAUUUGACUUGACGUAUUCAUCAUGAACAUGUGAGUGCGACUUAGCAGUAUUGGACUAGAGUACUGUAAUUGACAUUGACUAGAAUAGUAAACAACGGAACUUUACUAUUUCGCAUUGUGAACAUUAUGAUAGUUGGAGACUUUUACUUCAUGCAUAGUUGCUUCAUACUUAUGCUAAUUACGCUAAGUAGAGAUAUCAUGUUGUAGUAGGUUACAUUAUUUUUACUUACCUUUCGCUUUUCUACUGUUAUUGUCACUGACAUCUUUUGUAGCUUUGGGCCUCGUGGUGCAUUCACUGAAGUCAGUAAUUGCCCACUGGGAACUAUUUUUAAUAGUUCUCACGCCCCUGUUUUAUGGUUUCCUUUUCAGAGCCUUCGGCACCGGCGGAGGCACGGGAUCGCGGCAAGGGGAUCGCUUAGCUAGCUAGCGAGGAGCGGUACUUUGCCUAGGUGGUUACUCUUUCUUUUGUAGUUGAGAGAGUGAGAGGUUUUGUAUCUAUGUAUAGAGACCACCUAUGUAUCUACCUAUAGCACUUGUAUCUGGAAUUUUCUUGUAUCACUUUAUGUUUUAUUUAGUGGAUUUACCGUUUUAUCCUUAUCCCUUGUUGUAGCAUUUAGACAUUUAUUAUGCUCUGAUACUCCUAGAUGUCUUGUAUUAUUGCUUGGAAAGCCGUCGCCGAAUCUCUCGUUUUCGAGAGAGACGCGGCGCCGACUCUGCUAAUAGCAUUAGCCGUUAUUUGAGAACCGGCGCAUUGUUACGUGGCCUCUUCCUUAUCCACAAGGACCACAACGCUUAUAGUCUACUACUCUCUCUCAGUAAAAUAUAUGAAUACCCCCUCAACUAUACUUCAAUUUCAAAUCACCCCGUCAAUUUUUAAUUUUCUCUCCCGCUCACUUUUGAUCUUUUUAAAAUCGAAUAGUUUUAAUAAAAUAGAAUAUAAAGUUGCAUCAAAUUUAAUGAAACGUUUUAACUUAACGAACUAUAAAAACUUAAAUAUUAAAAAUAAAAAAAGUUGAGAGGUCAGAGGUCUUAACAAAAGAAAAAAAAAUAUAUUGUUGAGGGGGCGUCGUUAGAAUAUCUAUUGUUGUGGGGCUCUUCGUGCAUUUUUAACCCACUCCCUCUCCCUUUCUCUUUCUCAUCCGAGAGCCACGAAGAGAUCUCUCCCCCCCUGUCUCUCUAGUCUCUACUCUCUCUCUCUCUCUCUCUCUCUGAUGCGGCGAUGAGAACCGCCUCCUCCCCCGCGGCUUCUCCCAUCGCCAUGGCGAAGAACAAGAACGCCCAAUCCCACAAGGUCUCUCUCUCUCUCUCUCUCUCUCUCUCUCUCUCUCUCUAGGUUGGUUAAUUAAAUUGGGGUUAGGGCAAAUGCUCAACCUAUCCUGGUACAUUUCCUAGUUUGGGUGUGCAUUGUAGAUUGUUUCUUAUUCCUUCCCCUGAGUAGUGAAUUUGCUAAAUUAUGUGAAGUGAAAACACUCCAAAUGGUCGAUUUUGUACUAUUGGAGGCCAAAGUUUUAAUCUUUGUGUUCCUUGGUUCUUUGGAAUUCAAAUUAAAUCUAAUUGGAAGUUGGAUUGAGGGAAUUCUCCUAGUUAGAAGCCUGCACAUUUUCUAGGUUAUGAGAUGAAAUGGGUAAUGUCACGCCCCAAUCCCCGCCAAUUUGGUCGGGUUCGGGUCACGUCAACAGACGCUGAACGGACAGAGCCUCCCCUGUCCGCCCAAGGCUCUAACAACAUGUAUAAUAUAGCAAUCAAGCAAGAAGAUUAACAAUUAUACAAGGCUUGCACGAGGCGAGCAACAAUGAAAGCGGAAGCUCUAAGCUAUAAUAUAAACAUACAUGAUACUUGAUUGCUAAUUGCAUCAAAUAAAAGUAACUAAACUAUUACAUUCAUAAUUCUUUUACAUCUUUAGCCAUUCACCAAUUUUUACAUCAUUGUUUACAACUUCAAAACUCUAAAUCAACAAAGUAAAGUUGAUAUAUGUAUACAAAAGGGAAUGACUACAAAAGUAAGGAAGUCCCGGUGGCCACUAGCUAUGGCACUAUACCCUUGCCUCGGCCCUCCGCCACCCCGCUUGUGCUAGGACAUGUAGGGUUAGUGGUAAUGAGAACUAGAACAAAGUUCCCAGUGGGUUCGGCAACCGACCUCGCCGACUUACCCACUAGGUCUACCCAGGCAUAAGUAUUUCAAGGAAAGAAAAGUAACCAUUACUAAUGUAACUAAUACUAUGCCUGCAGGAAGAAGUCAGAGGAUAUAUCAAUGAUAUUAAAGCAAUAAAUAUGCAUGCAUGCUCAAUCUUUAAUUUACUUUACCAUGGCUUUUACCCAAUCUUACCGGCUAACUUUGUUAACCCCAAUCACUCACAACCCAAAUCCCUUAAUAACGGGGGACUCGAACCUCCCUAGGGACCGUCCUCUGGGGGGACUUUACCACGCCCAGUGGUGACCAACUCCGGAGCGCACCACCCGAGGGGGAACUACCACCCUCGAGACAAGACAUAUCGUGAGUAACGAUCUAAUCCUCAACUUGAGGAUUCAUAGCCACCAAUCAUAAUACUAUUGUCACAAUAGGUUUCUACCUAAUUGUUCAUGUCACAAUGCCACUAUAGUUAAACGAGGUUUAACGGCUCAUCUCAUGAUGCCAAUCAUGUCUCUAUUGUCAAAUGUCGCCUUGUUUACUAUGAUCAAGGUCCAAGUCUCUCUUACAUGCCACAUUAGGGUCCUACCAAACAUGUUCUCUUGGUUCUCUCAUUUUCUAAGUUCAAGUACGUUAGAAGCAUAAAAAUGAUUACCAACUAACAUUCACAUGAUUCUUAACCCUAACAUGCAUGACGUACUAUACAUUCAUAUGCUCAAAAAUAGAGAAAUAGACAUAAUAGGGAAUUCGAUGGUUCCGGCGUGCACCCCCCACCUUGUGAGGUGUAUGAAGAUGAUUCCGAUACUUUCCUCGCUCAACGAACGCCUACCUCGCAUCCUACAACCCAAAAGAAAGCUCAUUUUAGCCCCCUUGUACAUGAACUAUACUCUAACAUUUUCGUUUCGCGAAACGGAGUUUCCCACCGCGUUAGGAACACCCCUAAUUAGGUUUCUACGGGGUCAAUUCGUCCCCGAAAAGUCCUAGGGCAAAAACCCCAAUUUCGGUGCCCUAACAAUGCCAUAUGUGCUCAAACCCUAGAUUGAUCUCAUUGCUAAGCAAAAGAAGCUUAGAAUCAUCUAAGAAGCAUUCUAAUACUACUGCUAAGCUCUUUAAACCAUUCCUAUGGCAUCCUUUGCAAGUUCUAAGGUUCCACCAUGAGAGCACCUCAAGGUCACCAUGGAUUUCAUGGUUUCAUGGUGUUAGAGGAGUUCUAGGUUAAUUUAGAGGACCACAAACCCCAAAAAUCUAGGUUUAAACCAAACCCUAGAGUUCUACAAGCAUGAGAACUCACCUUUGCCCAAGCCCUAGCAAGCUCCUUCUUGUUGGAGAGCUCCUAGGUCCACUAAAUCCACCAAAACCACCUUCUUCUUCUUCUUCUCCACCUUCUCCACCAAACCCUGGGGUUUUUCUAGAGAGAGAAAGAGAGAAAUGAGAGAGAGAGUGUGAGGGGGUGUUUGGCUGUGAAGGGGAGGGGAUUAGGGCCAAUAACAUGUUGUAACAAUUGCAUUUAGGCCCUCCCACUUUCUAUUCUGUAGCAAGUUGACCCAUGCUGUCUGGGGCCUCUUGUACCGAUACAAGGAUUCUUGUUCCGGUACAAGGCCAAGCAGUGAGCCAAACCCGAGAGCUGCCUCUCAGUUUCGCAAGUCUUGUACCGGUACAAGGGGGCCUUGUACCGGUACAGCGCCUGGACUACACCAACCCGAGAGCUAUCUGAGCUCUGGUCGCUGGUUGUACCGGUACAACCAUCACCCUUGUACCAGUAAAAGACAUCCAGAAUGCAGUUUUUGACUUCGAUUCGGCUCUACUUCGCGCCGGUCGACGCCAAAACCAUUCUAAGUCUUUCUAAACUCAUUUUUGCCCUUCCAAACAUGUUGGAAUGCCAAUUGGAAUUCGUCCGACCAUCCUGCUCGACACUUUAACCAAUUUUGACUAAAGUUCGAUAAUCGCUUCGGGAUUUCAAUACGUUACAGGUAGCUGUCUGCUUGAGGAGUGUUUGGUCGAUAAAUCGGGCCGAGUUGUUUCCACUUUGAUUACAAUAUCGUGUUGAUAAGUGAGAGUAAGGAUUUAAGUGUUCAUCAACACAGGCCAUAUCCACCGUUACAUCAAUGAAGUGCAAAAGAUUUGAUAAUAAUAUAUAAUAUGUAAUUAGAAUAUAUUGAUGCUAUAGUGUGUCGACUGAUCGUAUCGUGCUAGCGAGUGCUCGGCACAACCCUAUGCUACAGCACUUAAAUCCUUGAGUGAUAGUUUGUGUUUCUUUUAUUGCUUUUGCAUUGAGGACAUUCUCAUUUAGAUUAAUAUGAAUCAAUUUGAAGCUAAAUGGACUUUGUUCUUUCUGUUGAAAAUUGAUUAAUAAUGUCAAGGGUGUAAUGUUUUAUUAUUGCGCUUCCAGGGUCCAGAUCAAGUUCCUCCAAGGAUUACAUCAAACGUUAAGCAGAACCUGCAAUUCUUAAAGUUGUGGAAGGUAAGAUAUUUAUGUAUCACUUUUUUUUUUGUUUUUUCUUCCCUGAAUUUGUAGAAGUCAUUAUAGCAAUACAGCUUCUCCAUUAUCUUCUCCAUUAUCUUCUCCAUUAGUACAUACAACUGCUCGAUGAGAAGGUUUUCUCCAUUAGCAGUCCUAGCCAUUAACAGUUCUAAAGUAGUUAUUUAUUGUUCUAUUCUCGCUUGCAUGCUUUCAUGUCUCUGUAUAUUGCAUGCCGUCUAUAUUUACACCAUUUCUUUUGAUCAUCGGCAACCACAACCAAGCAUUCGUGUGUGAUUAAGGUUGAUGUUGCAAAGGUUUAUGUCUCUUAUUUUGAAUUGUAGGAAUUUCAAAAGAAGAAGACAAGUACACCUAAGCUUGCCGUUAGUUACCGCAGAAAGAAGGCAGUGAAGGAAGACCUUCCAGAAGAUACAGAUCUUUAUCAAGAUCCUACUUCAAAUCUUUACUAGUCAGGCCCAUUUUUCUACUUUUGUACCUGAAUGCUUAAGGGCCUGUUUGGCCCUGGUUAAGUUUCUGGGGAAUGCCAUUUGUGUCGAGUUGUUCAGAGAAGCACUUAGAGCAUUUUCAUUAAAAUCCUCAAUUUUCUGGGGCCCAGAAGCUUAUUUUACAUUCUUCCCUCAAUAAAGUUUCAAAGUUUCUAUUUACCAAACGUCUGACUGUUGUUUCUCGAAUAGCAAAGCUAUUCGAGAACCUAGGCGUAGUGGGCUCUUGGUUCUUUCUUCUUAGCGUAAAACAUGGGAAAAAAUUAGAAUCCUAAAUUCCUAACUGAAUCUUCAAUUUUGAUCUAGCACAAAUCAGGGUUUGGACGCUGCUGUUCCGGUUUUGCUUGUCGAUGGUUACAAUGUAUGCGGCUUCUGGGCAAAGCUAAAGAAGCAUUUCAUGAAAGGAAGGCUUGAUAUUGCUCGGCAGAAGCUCAUCGAUGAGCUGAUAACAUUUAGCGUACUCAAAGGUUUGUGCUGACUGCUGACCCAAUGCUAUUACUUUUUGCGGAUUGAAAUUUUACCAUCUUCCUUUUCCUGCAUCAAUUUGAACUCAGCUAACCCAAAAAACUCACAAGGUGUCGUCUUUUAUGUAGUUAAUAAUUUAUUUUUGAAUGGCUUAUCAACUUAUACAGUUAACUUUGCGAGCUAUACAGAGGUAAAAGUUGUAGUGGUGUUUGAUGCUAUGAUGUCUGGACUUCCAACUCACAAGGAAACUUUUGCUGGGUAUGAUGAUUCUUUUGUCCCAUGUUAGUGGAUUUGUUUGUUUGAUUGUUUCAUGAGACUGUACAAACAAAACUACAAUGGAGAUUGUUGAUGGUGUAGCAAUUUGCAGAGUUUUUCUUCAUAAUACACCUCACAAUUUAAAUUUUGUUCUAGAUCUUUGGCUCAUUCAAUUAGAAGAUAAUGUGUUUAUGUUACUUGAAUGCUAAAUGGCAUGGUUAACAGCUGCAAGCAGAUUUCAAAUAUGAUCUUAGACAAUGAGAUUUUGCAGUUAUAUCAAGGCUGUAUUACCAUUGUCUAAUGUUUUGCUUCAGUUUUAUUAGACACUUCAAAAGGAAACAUUAUAGCUGACUUAAGUGUUAUUUGACUUACCAGUGUUCAUAAACAUUUAGGUUCAGUUGAAUCUGAUCAUAGUUAAUAUAUUAAACUUUCAAGCAUUAAAAACAAAUAAUUUCUUUCCACUGCAUUAAUUGUCUUUGAUUCCUUCCCACCGUAUUUACGAAUUUACUUACAAUUGAUUUAUGUGUUUUAUUUUUCUCUGGAUGGAAAAGAGAUUCAUAAAGUAAUUAUGCAGGUUAUUUCCUUUUCAACUACCAAUGCCACAUGUGCGCGUCCAGUGGAUACUCUGAAUCUAAUAGAUAAUCUACAUUCUUUUUCAUCGUUGACGGCCUUAUAAGUUGAUGCCUUCAAGUAAUGUAUGUUGUUUUUGCUUAAUGGGACAGUGUUGAUGUAGUUUUCUCAGGUGAGACAUGUGCUGAUGCUUGGAUUGAAAAGGAGGUAAGUGAUUGUUGACGUGGUUGAACAUUAAUCUGAUUUUAUCUUCUAUAUUUUGCAAAACUUACAUUGAUGUGCAGAAUAAGUAUCAGCUCUUAAAUGUGAUUAGUAUCUUUUCUUUAAAAUGUUCAGUGGCUUUCAAAUUUAUGCACGUAUACAGGUUGUAGCUCUGAGAGUGGAUGGUUGUCCAAAAGUUUGGGUUGUCACAUCCGAUGUAUGUCAGCAACAAGCAGCAUAUGGAGCAGUACAUAAUUUUCUGACUAUAUUUCAAAAACUUGCAAACUUACAAGUUUCCACUUGAUGUGCCUACUUCUAGCAGUUUAGCGUUUUAUAUGCUUACGUUAAGAUAGGUCAUUGAUUCUUGCCAUAAGACAUUGAAGAUAUGAGACAAUAUUAUGGAAAUGCAUUGAUAUCAAUAUAUUACACCAUUAGAUUUAAUUACAACUAUAUUUACUGCACUAAAUACUAGGGGUUUUUUACAAUCAUUUUUUUUCCGAACUCUUAAUUAAGAUUUAGGUUCUACAACAAUUCUUAAAUUCCAUUACCAGAUGAAUAGAAUUUAAAACAGAACUGACCAUCUUGAUGAAUUGUGGUCCUCUCCAUCCCUUGCGAACUUUCAGUGAGACGUUGUUUUGAUGGGUAACUGGUUGUAAGGCGUCUUUGAUUGAGAGAGAGAAAAGAAAAAAAAGGACAUAAGCAGCUGCACAAAGAUAGCAUAGAAAGUUUGAAAUUCAUACUUUGUCUAUGAGUAACUCUCUCUUGUGAGGCUUGCAGUCACGAUUUAUUAUAAUUAGUUCGAAAUCUUGAAGUAUUUUUAAUCAAGCAAAGGAUUUUCUAAAUUUCUCUAGUGAGCAGCGACUAAUAAUUGGCGAUAUUUACAAUGUCAAGUUAUUGGCUAUCUGCUGUAAAUUUUUAUUAUAUUCUGCUGUUUAAAAGUUCACCAGCUUAUCUAGUUCCGUGCCAGCAUGUAGAGUAUAUGAAAUCAUCUUCAAGUACAAAAACUAAUGAACUGAUUAUUGACACGUUUUAUGCCAUCAUAUAUUAUGGUCCUCUUUAUUUUUUUUCCAAAAGGUUUGACUUCUGUUGUUAUACACUGCGAUGAUCAGAAUAUCCUUGUUGAUUAAUCUGCGCUAUGCAUCUUCUAGGGUGCUUAUGUGUGGAGCUGCAAAGCAUUAGUAUCAGAGGUUAGUUAUAGCCUUGCUAAUCUAAUUUAAUUAUAGAGUCAGCUCUCUCAUCUCAAGCCAUGCAUUAAAGUCGUUUAGUCUUUUCUCUCUUUUUCAUCUAAAAUGAACAGAUAAUGAAAAAUCGAAAAUUAUAUAGCUUUCAAUUUCUUUAGUAUAUGUGUCUUCACUGUUAUUCCUUUCAUUCAUUCAUUCAUCAUAUUCCUUACUCACUCCAUCAUAAUGCAAAUUUUACCGAGUCCUUGGACAUCUGCGCCUCAAAUUUGUACAUCUGCAACCUCUCACCAUCUACUUCUUGAAAUAGGCAUACCAAUCAUUAUGAUACCAUGAUAUCGAUUCGAGACAUUAGAUGGCCCAUUAUUCAUACAGACGAAUCCUACAUAGUUUGCUUUCACAAACUUCAGGUUGUAAUUACGGAUCAUUGGCCUCUAAAAGUUAAUAUUCUGAAGCAUGGUUUCAUGGUUUCACUUUUUCGGGGAUCCAUAGUUGUGGAAUGAUCUAGUGUGCUUUGAAGUUGUUAAUUGUGGAUUAUUUUGUUUCUAUUUACAUGGCUACUUUCUUACUUUGAGCUCCUAUCUUCAUAAACUUUUAUAUUGUUCUCAUUGUGAAUCUCAUUGAAUACCUUAAUGCUUAUUAAUGUGCACUUUCGAUUUUUCACAUGUCCAACGCACGCAUUUUAUCAUUAUGUUUGUAACGGAUUGAAAUCCCGAAACGAUAAUCGAACUUUGACCAAAUUGGUUAAAGCGUCGAAAGAAAAUGAUGGACAAGUUCCUCUUAGCAUUCCAAUAGUGUUGGAAGGGCUAAAAAUGAGUUUGGGAAGACUUAGAAUGCUUUUAGCAUCAACCGGUGCGAAGUAGGGCCGAAGAAGAGCAAAAAACAGCAUUCUGGGGCUGUUGUACCGGUACAAGGGUGAUGGUUGUACCGGUACAACCAUCGCAGGCUGCGGCUGGAGGGCUCCGGUGCUAUACCAGUACAAGGUCCCCUUGUACCGGUACAAACCCGACGCGACCGAGAGACCGAGCUCUUGGGUUUGGCUCACUGUAAGGCCUUGUACCGGUACAAGAAACCCGUGUACCGGUACAAGCCGGUCUGGCAGCAACCGUGAAGUCUGCGACAGGGAAGAAGUACGGGGGCCUAUUUGCAAUUGUGUAACAUGUAAUAUGGCUUAUUUCCUGCCCCCUUUCACAGAAACACCAUUCCCUCUUCUCUCUUUCAUUUCCUCUCUUUCUCUCUCUAGAAAGCAAGGACUAGGGCUUGGAGAAGGUAGAGAAGAAGCUAGAGAAGGUGAUUUUGGUGGCUUAGGUGGGCUCUACAAGCUCUCCUACAAGAAAAACUUGGUGGAGCCUUGGGCUAAGGUGAGUCUCAAGUGCAAAUGAGUCUAGGGUUUGGUUUUAGACCAUGGAUCUUUGGGUUUUGAUCUCUUUAAAAGCUUAGAAACCCUCUAUUUGCCUUAGAACACAUGAAAACUUGAGUUUCCAUAGUGCUCUCAUGGUGGAUCACUAGGGCACCAAGUGGAUGCCCUAGGGAUGGGUAGAAUGGCUUUGUGAUGGUAUUAGAAUGCUUCUUGGGUGUUUCUAAACCAUUUUUAACUUAGCAAUGAGAUCAAUCCUUAAGCUAACCCUUUAGGGUUUGGUUAAAGCUCAAAUUUGGGGCUUUCGCCCUAGGAUUUUUCGGGGACAAAUUGAACCCGUAGAAACCUAAUUGGGGGUGUCCUAAACGCGUGGGGCAACUCCGUUAUAGUAUACGAAAAUGUUUAAAAAUAGUUAGUGUAUAUAGAGCCUAAUUUGGCACUAUUUGGCUAUAGGGCUUGGACUUGGAGUUCGUAAAGCCGAGGAAACUUCGCGAACCUCAUCUUCUACUUCAAAAGGUGGGGGGUGCACCCCGGAAUCAUCGGAUUCCCUUCUAUGUUUAUUUUCACCUUUGUUGAGCAUAUAUGUAUUUAGAUUCCAUUCAUGCAUAUUAGGAUAGUUUACAUGUGAUUGAUGGUUAAAUUUUAAUAUCUUGCUUCUAAAAUAGUUGAUUAAAAUGAUUGAAAAAGGAACCAUAGGAGACAUGUAUGUAAACCCUAUGACAUGUGUGAUUGAGAGGAUUGGACCUUGACUAUAGUAAACAAGGGUGAUAUGAACAUUAGAGACAUGGAUUGGCAUGAACUAGUGAUUGUUAAACAUAGGUUUAACCUUUGACAUUGUGACAUCGUGACAAGAAUGACUAGAAAGGAAUAUGGACAAUAGGUAGAAAACCUAUCAUGAAUAUGGUAAUUGUGGCUAUGCUUUCCCAAGUUGGGAAUUGGAUCGACACUCACGAUAAGUCUUAUGCUUGGAGGGCGGUAGCUCCCCCUCAAGCGGUGCGCUCCGGAGUCGGUCACCACUGGGCUUGGUGUAAUCCCCCAGCAGACGAUCCCCAGGGAGGUUCGAGUCCCCCGUUAUUAAGGGAUUUGGGUUGUGAGUUACUUGUGGUUAACACGGUUAACCGGUGAGAUUGGGUAUAAAGGCCAAAGUAUCUUGUGAAUUGAGCAUGCAUGCAUUAUCAUCAUUGCAUUGAUUAUAUAUCUGUCCACUGACUUGUUUUCUGCAGGCAUAGCAUUAGUUACAUUAGAAAUGGUUACUUUUCUUUCCUUUGUUAUAUUGUAAUACACUAAACUUUGCAAAUUGCGAAGUUCAAGUGUGAGGAAUGAUGUGUGGAUCUAUCCUGCAUGUUUUAAAAGGCUUGGGCAAGUUUGUGAACAAGUUAGAGAGUGAUUGGAUGGUUAAAAGCGAGAAAGUGCAUUGCUCUGGCAAAAAUCUGAGUUUUCUGCUUGCUGUACCGGUACAGCCAUUACCUUGUACCGGUACAGACUGGCAGAAUCGUGGCAGCAAGGGGCUUUUGGUCAUUUCACAUUCCAAUCCUUAUCUAUUUGACCCAGCUCGACCAGGGAUGCUUAGUGGAAGUUGCUGGAGCUCAGAGAAGGGUUUUCUUAUAUCUUCUUCUCUCUCUCUCUAAGAAUUUUCUCUCUCUACAUAAAAGCUGCCGAUUCGAGUCGAUUUCACGCUCCGGUCGACGCUCGCUGAUUGGACGACUCAAAGGAAGCUUGCAGCAAGUGGGGAGGAGGAUUUUUCUCUGAGUUCUCUGUGAGGUUAGUCCCAGAGAAACUAAAUCUCAGUUUUAGAAUCAGAAAUAGCUCAACUUCUCGCUUGUUUGUGAACUAGCAUCGGAAUUUGAUGCUUUUUGGGUUUCGCUGCUUCCACCUAACUUCGGGGCUGUUUUCAGCAGUGAAGAGGAGUUAUCUUGGUUGUAAUUUAUCAGCGAAAAGUUGUUUUAAGGUUGGACAAAAGUAGUUAGCCAUUUAUGAAACUAAUUCGAAGCUAUUUGCACUUUAAUCGCGUAACUUGACGCAGUUUGGAAUUUGUAUCUUCACAGCAGGUUUUUAAGCAAGUUGAACUAAAUUAGUGACCGUGGGGACUGGUUUAGAAGGUAUUCUAACCUGAGGUAAGCAGGAAUUUCAGUUAGACACCUAAUUUCACAAGAAUUCUGCCAUAAUAGCUUAUAUACAAGCAUAUUGACGCUGUUUUGAUAUUGUUCGCAGCGAGAGUGUGAUCAAGCUUCGGAUUGUCUUGAGUUGACUUAGAAGAGCUUUUGGGAGCUUUUGGAGGCUUAAUUUGAGGUAUUGAACUAGCCCAAACCAGGGAGUUAACCUUUCACCUUGUAGUAAUUGAGAAUUUUGCCGAAAUUGGAAUUGUAAGUACUCGGCUCGGUGCAGUUUUGUUACCUUGUUUUCAGCAGGAUUGGGAUCUUGUUGAGCUGAUUAUUGGGACAUCUUGUGACUGAUUUGGGCUUAGUACGAGGUGGGUCGGACCUAACCAGAGCAAGUGAAACUCCCCUAUGUUCUAUAUGUAUUAUAGAAAUGGUCUUAUUGUGUGCUUAUGUGAUUGAUCAAGGGUUUGCAAUUCGUCAUCACAAUGUUUAACUUCUUGAAAUGAAAUCUCUAGGAAGUAGAGGACAUUCAUGCAUAAAGUCUUUAUGUUCAUGUUGGCUAGUUAUAUGUUCCUAGAAAGUAGAGAACAAUGACAUUUUUAUGACUUUAUUUGGGAACUAGAGAACAAUGACAUUCUUAUGAUACUAAUGAUUCGAAAGUAUAGAACAUUGACAUGCUCUGUGACUAUAUUGAUGUUGCCAUGAUAGUGGAAAAGUUCCUAAUGCCAUAUGCAAUUUAGCAUUACUUUCACAUGUUUAGUACUCUAGUGGACACUAGCUAUGGUCAAUAUUUGUUAUAUUGAAGUUCCGAUUAAAGGAAACAUUACAAGUUAACUAGUGAGAAUUACAACAUGUCGAGUUAUGGACUUUGCUUGCUUGCCAUCGUGCUCAUUCGCACACGCUUGUUAGGGUCGCUCCCUACAAGCCGGCACUCCGGAGUUGGCCUACGCGACAGUUGCUCGCCCGUGCGGGAUUGGGUGCCGAAGUGGAUUGCCGUGGGGAGUGUAUACUACCACGGGGCCAUUAGGCGCGGCGCAAGCUGGACUACCUUGAGUAGGUCCUUAUGAAUGAAAUGAAAGUACUAAAUGACACCUGACAGUAAUAAAUAAUUACCAGUUACAGUGUAUAGCCGUUACUUACACAUUCGGGCUUAUGUUCGUGUUUAUGUUUAUGCUUACUGUAGUAGCUAAGCUUUAUUUAUUCAGUUAUUUCAUUACUGUAGAAAGUAUCUCGUUGCUUACAUGUUCCUUAUAUAUCAUGCAACUUACUGCUUUUACUUUCAUUCAGUACAUCAUGAGCCUAGUGGUGUAAUUCGCCGAGGCUGGCGACUUACCCACUGGGAACUAUUGUUUAAUAGUUCUCACGCCCUUUGUGUGGUUGUUUUUACAGAGCCCGCUUCAGGAGAGGCUAGGGACCGUGGCAAGGGAGUCACGUCUAGCUAGAUAUAGCAUUGGAGCAUGUUAGUGAUCACCUUGUUGCUCGGGCUUCAGCCGAGGGUGAUGUCCCUGUGUAUAGAGAGACUACCAGUAUAUAUUUGUUUUGAGUAGCCUAUGAUGUAUAUGAGUUCUGGAUCCAGAGAUUAUAGUUUUAUAUUUCUUUAUGAUGUGAAAUUUUGUGAUUGGUUACUCUUUGUUCUGUUGAUAAUGUUGUAGACUUGUACUUUGCUCUGAUAUCAGGAUAGGAUUUUUCUAUCUUUUCUUCCUUUGGAAUUGUCUUCUUGUAGACGCCUUAUAUACUGCAGGUGUAUGGCGGGUCUGUGCAUGUGCCGGUUAUGCUUCCGCUGGUAACCGGGCGUGACAUAUACUUAUGCCUGGAUAGACCUAGUGGGUAAGUCGGCGAGGUCCGUUGCCGAACCCACUGGGAACUAUGUUCAAGUUCUCAUUACCACUAACCCUACAGGUCCUAGUACGAGCGGGGCGGCGGAGGACCGAGGCAAGGGUUUAGCGCCGUAGAUAGCGGCCACCGGGACCUUUUAUAUUUUGCAUUUAGUCAUUCCUUCUGUUAUACAUGUAUCAACUGCUUUUGUUGAUUUAGAGAAUUGUAAAAGUUGUAAACAAUCAUGUAAUAUUUUGGUGGAUGGCUAAUGUAAAAAGAAAUGAUGAAUGAAUGAAAGAAUGUAAUAGUUUUAUUUACUUGUAUUUGGUUUAAAUUUAAUCAAAUAUCAUGUAUGAUGUAUAUUUUAGCUUUACAGCUUUCGCUUCCGUUGUUGCUUGCCCUCGAGCAAACCUUGUAUUACAUAUGCAAAUCUUUUUGAUUGCCUAUCUAUACAUGUUGUUAGAGCCUUGGGCGGACAGGGGAGGUUCUGUCCGUUCGGCGUCUGUUGACGUGACCCGAACCCGACCAAAUUGGCGGGGAUUGGAGCGUGACAAUGUUUGUUUCUACGUUACAUACGUCAUAUUUUCCUCUGUCAAACUAGCACUAACUUUUCUCUUGGUUUUGCAGAUAAAGGCUUCGGAAAAAGAGUUUCAAAAUGUGCUUAACAAACAACAGGUUUGAGAUAGUUUUUUUUUUAUGUUGUUCUUCAAUGUUAUGAUUUGGUUUAGCAUUACAUUUGUAGUUAGAUGAAUUAUAUCUCAGAAAAUUUCUACAUAGAUUAUUACGGUUUGUUAGGUAGGCGAAAACAAAAAGUUUCUUUUUUGGUGAAAAUAUGAACAUAUUUUAUACAAAAACCGACUUCAGUAUUUUAUGAGCAGAAAGUGAGAAGGCUUGAGGGGAAAUCACAGGAGGUGCAAAAAGGGGGAAAAAGAAAAAAAGAACUGAAAGAAACAGAUGGGAUAUAGCUUUUUUAUAUGAUCCACUUCUCAGUGAACACCAGUCUUACAUACCCUUAGUAGUCCUACUUUUAACUUUUGGCUAAAUUUUCUUCCACAUGCGUUGAUUUUUUGCCACAUGAUGUUGAAUAUUUCAUUACUUUUAAUCUUAGGAACUCCAUAAUGCAUUUUACCAAUAAACCAUUCUUUUACGAGCGAUUCGCACAUUCUUCAUUUCGAAUCAUGCUGUUGGUCUUCGAUUAGAAGCACUUCUGGUUUUUCAGCAGUUGCUUUUCAAAAGUACAUAAAAUUUUUCUAAAGAAAAUUCUCUCGUUCAACUUGCAGGUCAACUUCGGUGCAAGGGAAACUGCUUCAGCAUAAUCUGGGCUGCGAUGUAGUCGAUGCGUUGAAGGAUCUCAAGAAAAAGCUCUCUGAAGUCUGAGUUGACGCAGCUACCCUUUUCUGGGAUGGACUAACAAAGCUACUUCGAAGGUGGACGAAUCGCCAAUCAUAAUUAAGGGAUGUUACUAUAAUUAUCAAUUGCUGACCGAAUCACCGGGACAAAAAAAAAAGAAAAAGAAAGAAAACAGAGGAGGGUGUUUGAAAGAAAUUUGAGGGCAUCAGGAUUCAGUAUUUAUACCUUUGGCAAUGAGAGUUAACCAGGUCGGUUGAGUUUGCUGUACUUAUCUGUACAAUAAAAUCAGAGAAAAAAAGGGGGGAGAAAAGGAUAAUUCGAGUUUCGUAUCAAUUGGGCAGAUUAUAUGUCCCACAUGUUGUAUGAAUGAACUUAAUUUUCUGUGGGGCUUUUUUGGCAAAUGGUCCCCUGAAAAAAUUUUAUUUUAAAAAUAAUUCUGUUAAAAUUUAAUUUGCAAAAAUAGUCCUGACCCUGCCACGCAGGUACAACUUCAGCGUCACGCGAGCAAGGCUGGGACUAGUGUGUUAAGUUGAACACAGUAAAUCAUUCACCGUAUUUCGUAUUUUAUAUAUAUAUUCCUUUUCUUCUCUUUUAGGGAUGUCAAUGGGUCGGGUUUGGAUUUUCGAACCCGGUGGGUUUCAAAAAUUCAUACCCAUAUAACUUUAAUAUAUGGAUAUGGGUAUGGAUUUUUAAAAGUCGUAGGGCUCGGAUUCGUGUUCGGAUUUUAAUUUGAUUUUCGGAUUCGAUUUCGGAUUUUUUAAAAUCCAAUCCAAACCCAACCCGUUGACAUCCCUAAAAGAGAAGAAAAGAAAUAUAAAUAUGAAACACGAUAAAUCAUUUACCGUGUUCGAACACGAUGAAGGGUUCAUUGUGUUUGAACACGGUGAAUGGUUCAUCGUGUUUGAACACGGUGAAUAGUUCAUCAUAUUCAACUUAACACACUGAUCUCAAUCCUGCCUGUGUAGUACUGAUGUGACGCCUGCGUGGCAGGAGCAACAUUAUUUUUGCAAAUCAAAUUUUGAUAAAAUUAUUUUUAAAAUAAAAAUUUGUCAGUGGGCUAAAUUAAAAAAAAAAAAAAGGCCUUUUUCUGUGUCAUUUGUUGUGCUAGCAUAUUCUGAUUACAUAAGCAUAAUUUGUGGAACUCUUUGAAAAGGCAUUAAUAACUUUAUUUCUAGAUGAAAUUCAAGGUUUAAAUAUUGAGGACCAAAGUUUCGCCCAAAGAGAACUCAAAAUACCCAAAUCCAAAUCUGGAAGGAACCUUCAAUAAGUAAUUAUGUUGCUUCAAUGAAUAUGGCCUCAAAAGAACUGAAUAUAUUCAGCACAAAACAAAUUCAUACGCAAGGCAUAAACGCCAUUGCAAAGAUAAUUAAAUUUCCAAAACUGGGAAUACAGGUGAUUAAGACUUGCAACAUAAAUAUCACAAUUUGUGGAUGCCUUUUACUCAUUUCACAGAGGGAGGGGUGAAACAGAAGAAAGAUAAACAGGAACUGCUCACUCACCAAAAUUUUUCUGUACAAGGGGAUUAAACAUUUAUGCUUGAGCCUGCAAAAUCGUGGUCCCGCUUAUUUUUAUCGAGGAUCUCAGAAACUUCGGUUUAACCCUAAACCGAUCAAUUUGUUCAGCUCCAUGAUCAUCAGCUCUGCAGUCAUCAUCACCACUUGGAAACCUGCUUUUGGAUUUUCGAGUUGUGAGACGACUUACCCCCUUUGUCCUUGUAAGAGUUUCUCGAGGCCAAAGCCCUUCUCCCACGUGCGGCGGCAACAGCUCGCUUUCUCUGCUUGUUGAGGCGCUUAACUAGUUCGGCAUCACCACUUCCAUCGUCAUCAUCAUCUGAAUUAUCCAAAUCAUUGCUAUCUUCCUGGAGGAGAGGGGAAAAAAAUUGCCGACCUACUUAGAAAAGAAUAGUUCGUAGAAGCCACAUGAACAAAGUGACAAGUUUGGGCACAUCCUUUACAUUAAAUCUUUUACCCAAAAAAAAAGGGCAUCGCACCAUCAUAAAAAGAUAAAACUCAAGAAAAGCAAUCUAAAUUCAUGACUGAUAACACCAAUACCUUUACCGAAGUAGGGGAUGGAUCGAGCCGCGAGCUCGAGCUAGUUAACUCGCAUCAAAUUCGGCUUGAAAUUAAUUUCGAGCACCUAAAUUAACGCUCAACUUUGGAUUGAAAUUAAAUUCGACGCCGAGCUCGAGCGAGCCUAUUUCCAAAUCCCGAGCGAGCUCGAAGCGCCUAAACGGCGCUUGAAAUUCUAACCAUUAUACGAUCAAUAGUUUAAUUGUAUUAGAACAUUAUUUAUAUUUGAUACAAAAAUAUAGUCUAAUAUUUUCAAGUACAAAUAUAUAUAAAUAUAUAUUGUAUUAACAUAUGAAAAAAAAUUAUAAUUUAUAAUUGAAUAUCCUAAUUUUUCGUCACACAUGCUUUUCUCUUCGGCUUCAAUCUCAUAAUUCAUUUUCAUUUAGCAGUCAAAAAAAAUAAAUAUUAAUAAUAUUGAUUAACUAUCAAUAUAAUCACUAAAUAAAUUAAAAAUUUUUAUCUACUGAAUUAGAUAAUUUUUAUUUAAGAAUAUUCUGUAUAUUUCUCAACAGUCCACAUUAAUAGCCAGUAGGCAACGCGGGAUUAUUGAUGUUACUUGGUAAUUAGAGGGCUUGCUUGAUGCCAUAUAGGUGAGAGACAGAAAAAAGAAAGAGAAAAAUAAUGAAAAUUUAGGAGCCUGUGACGAAAGAAAGACAAAGAAAGAAGGCAAAAUAUAUAAAUUUAGUCCAAAUAUUUUGCUCUUUUAUUGUUCUAUUGGGUUUGUUUUUAUGGCGCAACAACAUUGCCGAUUUUAACUAAACUCAUAGAUUAUUCACAUCAGGCUAUAUAUUACCAUUAACCAUCAAUCUAUAUCAUAAUAUUUUUUAAUAUAUAAUUAUUAGAGAGAGAGAGAGUGGUAGACACUACUGCCUGCUAAUCGAAAAAUGAGAUUAAUGUUUUUGAUUUUUGACUCUUUGAUUAUAAAAUUGAUGGUUGGCGAUGGAUUGCGCGUCUCCCUGGAUAAAUAAUACUUUAGCGAUUAAGUGGUCCCUACAAGGUAAUAAUAAUGAUAUAAUUCAAAUAAGAAACGAUUAAAAGGGAUGAUCUAAGAAUAAAAAAUCGAAAGCACCAUAUCUCAUAUACUUUCGAUAGCAGUAUGCUCUAUUAUAUAUAUAUAUAUAUAUAUAUAUAUAUAUAUAUAUAUAUAUAUAUAUAUAUAUUCGAGCUUUUCGAGCUUUUCGAGCCUAAUUCAAACGAGCCGAGUAAUACUCAAGCUCGGCUUGAAAUGAAUUUCGAGCCUUUUUUUUUGCUCAAGCUCGGCUCAUUUAAUUUCGAGUCGAGCUCGAGCGAGCCAAAUAUCGAGUCGAAUGCGAGUCGAACACGAGCCGGCUCGCUCAUUUGCCAGCCCUACUUCCGAGCUAAACUAUUCCCACCGUCUACCAACAGGAAUCUCUUGAUUUUGAGGUCCAUUACUCAUGAAUUGAAAAAUAAAAUACAAAUUAACCAUCCAAUAAAAGAUUUUUCCUAGACUUAACAAAAGUAUCAAGCAUCUGAAGAUCGUUGUCUGUGAAGGGUUUUACUAGCAUAAAUCAUAAAGAUCUAUAUUUUAUGCCAAUGUUACUAUCCUUUCAUGAGGACAUGAAUAGUGUGUCCUCCCAACUUUUUAGCUCUUGGAUGCUUUAGUGGGGGUGAAUAGCAUUUGAUCCAAAGACAAUAUUCAUGUCCUCUUAUGAGGACCAUAGAUGGGCCCUAAUUUUGAAGCCUCGUCAUGUAUUUGACAACAGCAGUACACGUGCGAAUUCAUGUCAGUAACAGCUUCAUGCACAAAACCAAGCCUAGGGUAGGUAGCACAAAAAAUGAAAAAUACAAACAAAAUAUUAAAGAUCUGCAUGCACUGAAAGAUAACCCUUAGCUAAGGCUCACGCUACACCAUAAUUCCCUUACAGAGAGAAACAGAUUAAAAUUGAAAUUGAAAUAGAUAGCAAGAGCGUGAGAGCAAGAGCAAGCACGCGCGCGCACGCGAGAGAGAGAGAGUAGAUAAAAGUACCUGCUCUCCUGAUGCCGUAGGUUCGUUCUCCCUGACAACUUUCACAUUACAUGAAUCUAGAUUUUCCUCCACUCUGUCUUCAUCAUUGCAAUAUGAGCUUUUAACUUGCUGAAAAACAAAGAGGGAAAAAAAAAAAAGUACUGUAACAUCAGGAGGUAUCAAAAUAGGAAAGGAACAUAGCAUCAGUUUUUUCAGUAUGAUUGAACUAGAAAACCUCCCGAUCGAAAGUUACAAGUUUUGUUGGAAACACUCUAGUCUAAGCGUAUUUAUCACAAAUAAUCACUUCUUAUUGCAACAAUUCUCAACAGUCAAAUGAGAGCAUUGAUGUAUACUACCAAAGACAGUGAAACUAAAAUAAUUUAUAUAGUGCACCCAAUUAGUGGAUAGAUUCAGCAUCAAUUUAUACAGAUUCUCAAUUCCAAGUAUAUAGUAAGAUAGAUAUUUUGAGUCGCAAACCAGCACCGGCCACCUCUCACUUAUGCUAGAAUAUUUUAACGUCCCACUACAAGUUCAACUUCACAAAUAAUUGAAAUAUAACUCUUUUAGACAUUUUGAAUCUCAUUUCUCUAUCUUUUGCAGCAUAAAGGUGUGUGCUCUUNNNNNNNNNNNNNNNNNNNNNNNNNNNNNNNNNNNNNNNNNNNNNNNNNNNNNNNNNNNNNNNNNNNNNNNNNNNNNNNNNNNNNNNNNNNNNNNNNNNNNNNNNNNNNNNNNNNNNNNNNNNNNNNNNNNNNNNNNNNNNNNNNNNNNNNNNNNNNNNNNNNNNNNNNNNNNNNNNNNNNNNNNNNNNNNNNNNNNNNNNNNNNNNNNNNNNNNNNNNNNNNNNNNNNNNNNNNNNNNNNNNNNNNNNNNNNNNNNNNNNNNNNNNNNNNNNNNNNNNNNNNNNNNNNNNNNNNNNNNNNNNNNNNNNNNNNNNNNNNNNNNNNNNNNNNNNNNNNNNNNNNNNNNNNNNNNNNNNNNNNNNNNNNNNNNNNNNNNNNNNNNNNNNNNNNNNNNNNNNNNNNNNNNNNNNNNNNNNNNNNNNNNNNNNNNNNNNNNNNNNNNNNNNNNNNNNNNNNNNNNNNNNNNNNNNNNNNNNNNNNNNNNNNNNNNNNNNNNNNNNNNNNNNNNNNNNNNNNNNNNNNNNNNNNNNNNNNNNNNNNNNNNNNNNNNNNNNNNNNNNNNNNNNNNNNNNNNNNNNNNNNNNNNNNNNNNNNNNNNNNNNNNNNNNNNNNNNNNNNNNNNNNNNNNNNNNNNNNNNNNNNNNNNNNNNNNNNNNNNNNNNNNNNNNNNNNNNNNNNNNNNNNNNNNNNNNNNNNNNNNNNNNNNNNNNNNNNNNNNNNNNNNNNNNNNNNNNNNNNNNNNNNNNNNNNNNNNNNNNNNNNNNNNNNNNNNNNNNNNNNNNNNNNNNNNNNNNNNNNNNNNNNNNNNNNNNNNNNNNNNNNNNNNNNNNNNNNNNNNNNNNNNNNNNNNNNNNNNNNNNNNNNNNNNNNNNNNNNNNNNNNNNNNNNNNNNNNNNNNNNNNNNNNNNNNNNNNNNNNNNNNNNNNNNNNNNNNNNNNNNNNNNNNNNNNNNNNNNNNNNNNNNNNNNNNNNNNNNNNNNNNNNNNNNNNNNNNNNNNNNNNNNNNNNNNNNNNNNNNNNNNNNNNNNNNNNNNNNNNNNNNNNNNNNNNNNNNNNNNNNNNNNNNNNNNNNNNNNNNNNNNNNNNNNNNNNNNNNNNNNNNNNNNNNNNNNNNNNNNNNNNNNNNNNNNNNNNNNNNNNNNNNNNNNNNNNNNNNNNNNNNNNNNNNNNNNNNNNNNNNNNNNNNNNNNNNNNNNNNNNNNNNNNNNNNNNNNNNNNNNNNNNNNNNNNNNNNNNNNNNNNNNNNNNNNNNNNNNNNNNNNNNNNNNNNNNNNNNNNNNNNNNNNNNNNNNNNNNNNNNNNNNNNNNNNNNNNNNNNNNNNNNNNNNNNNNNNNNNNNNNNNNNNNNNNNNNNNNNNNNNNNNNNNNNNNNNNNNNNNNNNNNNNNNNNNNNNNNNNNNNNNNNNNNNNNNNNNNNNNNNNNNNNNNNNNNNNNNNNNNNNNNNNNNNNNNNNNNNNNNNNNNNNNNNNNNNNNNNNNNNNNNNNNNNNNNNNNNGAUUCGCCAAUUAUUCGGAUACGUGAUUUAUACGGAUAUUAUACGUUCACCAAUUAAAAAUUCGGGAUAAAAAAUUCGGCUAUUAAAUUAAAUUUUUUUCCUCUCAAAAUUUAUGCUAUUAGCAUAAAUACUCAUAUUUUUUAAAAAAUAUAAGAAUAAAAAGCUAUAAAAUUAAACUAAUUAAGUAAAAAAAAAAAGUAAACUAUAUUAUUCCUCAAAAUAAAUAAAUAAUUAAGCAAAUAAUUGAUCAAGAUAGUCCAUAUUUAAAUGUAAAAGCUUCCAACUUUUGCUUUGAAGAAUGAAAACUCAAUUAGUACCUGGUCCCAAAGUUAUGUUUUAAAAAUUAAGUAGAAAUCCCAGUGAGUCAAUGGUCCAUGAAAGACCACAACAAAAUUUCCUUUUGCAAGUGUCGACAAAGAUCAUGAAAUUGAUUAGGUAUAAUACAAGAGUUCUGUUACGACCAUUGCAUCAGAUAGAAGAGUAGGGUAAGUAGGCGGAGUAGAAGGGUGAGACGCGAGAGGAUCGAAGGUGAAGAAGAACAGUGGCGCGGCGGCGAAAUCUAUAGAAGAAGGGUUAUCGGGCAAUGGGUUCGUGUUACCUCACUGUAGCAUCACCGCGCCCGACUCCGAACUCUGGAUCAGCUAAUGGGUGACGGGCCAUCUCUGGAACAGUGUGGAGCCAUAGCGGGUAAUGGUUCCGCUUAACUCUUACUCUGUGACACCGACCCGAAUCCGGAAGGUUUAGAGAGAGACGGUUGAGCUGAAGCCAGUGAAGGAGCCCAGCCCAAGCCAGGAUUAGGCCCACUAUAGUCCACUGAGUGUAAUUACAAUUACAGUUUAACCCUCGCCAUUGUAAUUCUUACAUUUUGAUCCUCACGCUGAGGAGUAUAAGUAGCAACUCACGCCUGUAACAAACUAUGAGAAAUUUGAAUAAAAAUUCCCCAAUUCUCCCCAAUCCUCUCCUCUUCCCCACUCUUCUCCAUUCUUCUUCUUCUUCUUCCCCAUCUCACUCCUCAUCUCAGAUCUAUUCUUGCUCCUCUAGCUCUUCCACUGAUACCAACGGGUCUGGAUUCAGUCAAAUUUUGAAUCCCAUCAUCUCUUCUUCUUCGAUCCUCUGUGCGCAACUUCAUCGGAUCAAAGAAUCAGAUCAGGUAAGCGAUACAUCAUUCCAUUUCGCCUUCCUACGAUUAGUAUCGGGUUGCGAAAGGGUCAGGAUCGUAACAAGUUCCUGGUCCCAAAGUUAAUUAAGAUUAUUUAUUUAGCACUAUGUUUGGGUCUUCUUUGUGCAUAACAGAGAAUGGACACAUUCAAUUAAGCACUCAGCCACUUGUGUAUAAAACAAUCCAUCAGAUGACUAAAAGCUUCCAACUUUUUCUUUGAAGAAUGAAAAAAACUCAAAACGUACCUACUUGGGUUUGUAAAGAACCACCCGGUUACUGAUCUAUCGUUGGAUAGCGGAAGCGGGAGAGGAAGCGGAAGCGGAAGAGGAAGAGGCGACGAGGAGGGUUUCGAUUCCUGAAGAGUGAAGAACCCGAUCUUCGAUCUUCGAUUCCUGAAGAGGAGGGCUUCCGAUGGCGUUCGGCGAGCGGCCGGAAGGGAAGAGGGAGACCGCCGCAGGGGUCAAUGGCAGGGCCGCACCGCCGCAGGAGUGAGAAGUUAGGGCAAACCUUUUUUUGGGAGGGGUGGGGGUGGGAGCGUGGGAGUCGUCGCCUCGUGGGAGGGGGGCGAUGGUUUUCAGAAAUCCUUUCUUUUCUUUUUUCUUUUAUUUCUUUUGGGCGAAAGGUUCUUUUUCCUGUUUUGGGCCACCGCGAGGCCCACAAGUCCGCUCACAGUCGCAAGCAAGAGGGCCGUUUUUUUAGGCCGAAUUAUUCGCGAAUCCCGUUUUAUUCGCGAAUAAUUAUUUUUGCUCAAAAAAUCACGAAUUAUUUCGAAUUUUUGACAAAACUUCGAAAACGGGUGUUUAAUUCGGCAUUUCAAAAAUUCGCAAAUAAUUCACAAAUAAUUCGCGAAUUAACUAACUAUGAGAAGAAGGGGAGGUGAACAGGGGCGUCAACGAGCCGAACGAGCUGGGCCGGGCUCUUGUUCGGCUUGUUUAAUAGACGAGCCGAGCCGGCUCAUUAAAGUAUGGAGCUGAAAAAUUCAGCUUGUGCAUGAGCCGGUUCACAAGUUGACCAACAAAUACUAAGUUAAGGAUUCGUUUGAUUCGAAUAUAAGUAAAAACUNACCAAAUAGUCUCGCUUAGACUUGACGGCCCUGAAAGAGACCCUACCCAGCCUAUGCAGCUUCAUCGCGAGAACCGUCCCAUCUUCCGUGGCAACCUCAAAUAUAUCUGUAAUCACAAAGAGGCGCAUUACCUACAAGCAUGAUAGAAUGGCACUAGUGCCCAACCUCCUCGUGAAGUUUCAAUCUAGUUUUCGACAUAUUCAAUUUUUACUAUCUGGUCCCUAAUUAAUACGUUCCCUUUAAUCUUCACCCUUAUGUUGAAUUUCUCUAUUAGAAUGGAUGGAAAAUAUCCAAGUAGCCACCACACAAAACAAGACCGACUGUAAUAAAUAGAGAGAGGGGCUGAACAAUCACUUACGCGGUAUUACAAUAGAACACGUGAAAAUAUUUGUUAGUUUCAACAGAGAAAUUUAAUGGGAGCUCUACAAGUGUACCAUAAUACAAAAUUUACACACCUAAUUGUGAUUAGUGUAGUAUCAAGGACUCAUAGGACAAUUAAACUCGAAAGGAAAAGGAACCAUAAAGCAGAAACUCUGGAAAAUAUAAUGAAAUAAAAGUUCCAAAAAAAAAGGCAUACCCGACUCCUUUCCAACACCAAUUUGACGGCCUACGGCAGCAAAUACACCGCGAUUGACAAGGGUCUUGAUUGCGAGGAAAUCGUACCCAAGAUAGGUGAGCCGAAACCCAUCAUCUAAAUUGCAAAUAAAAAAAAAAUUUCACUCAGAACAGCACCCAAGAUGCAAUUUUGGAGCUACUUACAAUUACAAGAACCAGUAAAUAGGCCUUAAACUACUCACACUUUGAUGAAUCAUGAUGCACCAGUUUGUGCUUCAGCAGAUUCCUCAGCACCUUAGACGUUCCCCCAUGUCUUUAAAACACAAGAAAGUAACAUAAUUUAGCAUAUAUUUAGCACAAAAAAAUCAUAAUUAUUAUAAAAACUAAAGGGUUAAUUGCAUACAGCUCGCUGUAAACAUAUUAAAUAGCAAAUAUAUCCCUGCAAAGUUUAACUUUUAACUUUUAUCCCUACAAAAUUUUCAAUGGUAAUCUUCUUCCUCAUCUUCUUCUUCUUCUUUAAAACCAAACCCAAUCCACAAUUGUUGCAUCCUCUUCUCUCACUUUUUUUCUCCUAAACUUUUUUUUUAAUAAAAUAAAAAAAAAUUAUAGAGGAAAUUGAAUAGGAAAACAACACACAUUAGGCUAAGCAACAAACGUCAUGGAUAAAUAAGGACGGAGAAAUUCUAGUUACGGGUUCGAAACUAGCAUGAAGGAGAGAGAGGAAGAGAGAGAAGAGUUUCCAUUACUAGGGUUUCGAUUGAGAGAAUAAGGUAUAAUAUAAGAGGGGUAAAAAUAUCAAUUUACCUCAUUAACUAAUCAAGAUUAAGUAUUUUUAACUAAAUUUUUCUUACUAACUAAUCAAGAUUAAGUAUUUUUAACUAAAUUUUUCUUAUGGAUCCUAACAGCAGGGACAUAUUUGAAAAUAUAAUAACAUAAGAAAGUUGAUAAUUGUAGGAAUAUAUUUACAAUGUUUACAGGGACCUCUAUACAAUUAACCCAAAAUUAAAUCGCAAUCUAAAUCUAUAAACGAAGAUUAACCUAACCUUAGCCCGGCGAUCCUCUCGACGAGCUCCGCGGGAACGAUCUCGUGCUGAAACCGAGCGUUAAACAAGAUGAAUUCUCUCGUUUACUCCAAAUUGAAUUGAAGAGGUAGAAUUAGAGAUCACGAGAGAGAGAGAGACUGAGAAAGGAGGAGGAGGAGGAGGAGGAGGAGGGAUAGAUAUACGUACGUUCCUCAUACCCAUCUCCACGGCUGUGAGGACCCUGAAAUCGUCCUUGGAGAGGUACCUCAGCGCGUCUACGUCGAGCUUCAUGGUGGCGGAGGUGGUGGCUCUGCUGGAGGGGCGGCGCUAGGGUUUUGGAAGAGCUUUUUAGUGCAAUAGUCUUUUUCUACACAUUUAUUCUAAAAUUAAAUCUGUUAAAUUUUUAUUUAUAAAUGUAGUCUUAUGAAAGCGGUGAAUCAUUCACCGCUUUUAAAAGCGGUGAACUAUUCACUGCUUUCUUUAUUUUUUCUCACUUUUUUCUAUAUUUUUACAAUGAUAAAAGCGGUGAAUGGUUUACCGCUUUUAUUUCUUUUCUACUCCUAAUGAGAAGUUAUAAAUGCGGUGAAUCAUUCACCGCAUUUAGAGGUCAAUUUUUAUAAUUAUUUUUUUAACAAAAUUAUUUUUAUAAUUAUAAAAAUUAAUAAGAUUAUUUAUAAAAAAAAUUCGUUUUGGAAACUCGCGGAAUAAGGGUUCUGAAAACUCGAGAGGAAGAAGAAGGGGAGGUGAAUAGGGGCGUCAACGAGCCGAACGAGCUGGGCCGGGCUUUUGUUCGGCUUGUUUAAUAGAGGGAUAAGAAAAAUAGCGUUUGAAUGAAAAUUGGAUUGAUCCCGAAAUAAAAAAAAGAGCGUUUGGAUAGAUAAUAUAAAAUAAGAAAAAUAGUGGAUAGUUAUAUAUAAAAAAUGAAGGUGUUGGUGAGAAUAAUUAUACUAGCUUAUUUUAUAUACCCGAGAACUACUAUUCUCGAGUAAAAAAUUUGCGUUCUCUUUAUCUCCGAUCGAAAAUGUACCUAAAUGAAUUAGAUUGGAUAUAUAAAAAAAACAUAAAUUUAUAAAAUCUUAUCUAUUAAACUUUGAUCUAUUUACAAUGUUUACAGGGACCUCUAUACAAUUAACCCAAAAUUAAAUCGCAAUCUAAAUCUAUAAACGAAGAUUAACCUAACCUUAGCCCGGCG